UUUUUCCAAGAUUAAGAUUCAUCUAGUAUGCCUCAUUGAUUAUAGGAAAAUGAUGAAAUGGUAUUUUUAAUAGAGAUCAGAUAAUUUCUUUUGAGGCAAUUCUAAACUACUGUAUUAUAUUUGUAUUGGUAUAUUGAAAGCAUUUUGCAGACCCAGAAGAGAAUAAAUAAUAUAAUAAUUAUAAAAGGAACCAUACUAUGGGAAGAGGUCACUCUAUUAAAUUGCUAAGGGGUUAAACUCAUUUUGAUAAGCAUAUAAAAUUUAGUUUUUGUGGUUAGAAUUUUUGAUACUCAAUUUGAACUCAAUUGAAGUAUUACAACCAUAUCCUUGCAGGUAUAGGAAACAGCAAUAUGCAAUAUGAUUUUAAUAUUUGCAAUAUAUUAGUGUUCUGACAAUGGAAAAGUUCCUAACCGCAUGUCUGUAUUACACCUAUGACCCAGACUGUCAGUAUUGCAAACCCCAUAUGAAGACUCUGCUUUCACUGUUUAUGUAUACACCCCUAGACAACCGUGCUAUACAAACACAAAUCUUCAAAAGCUUAUUAAUAUUAUAUCUGUGUGGUACACAAAUAGGUGUACACAAAGAGGGGGUGUGAGUUAAGUCAUCUCGACCUUCAUAUGGAAUAUGCUUCCUCCUUGUUCACUUUUGGUCAAACUGUUGGUCUGUGACUGGCCCUCUUUGACCCCAACUGAAUUUCUUGGGAAGAUUCAUGAGAAAGAUACAGCAGGUUGUUUUGGAUAUAAAGAAAAAGGGAAAAGUAUGUUGUAUCGGUCACAAAAGGAUUGUGAUCUUAAGCAGGCGAGACAAAGAAAGUUUGGAGGUGAUAGAUUGAAUCAGAAAAGUUUUAGAGGCAGAGGUAGAGAAUUUGAUCAAAGGAUUUAACUUUUGUAGAGAUGGUAACUUCAGCACUG
Molecule: non-coding RNA, 911 nt
Organism: Pelobates cultripes (western spadefoot toad)
Lineage: Eukaryota; Metazoa; Chordata; Amphibia; Anura; Pelobatidae
Source: the annotation of a GenBank genome assembly